This is a long non-coding RNA of Brassica oleracea var. oleracea, 597 nucleotides long. RefSeq lists it as uncharacterized. The transcript is spliced from 3 exons. Lineage: Eukaryota; Viridiplantae; Streptophyta; Magnoliopsida; Brassicales; Brassicaceae. The record is from RefSeq and is a predicted model, not a curated record.
UUAACUGCCGCGGUGAUUGAUGAUCUUACAGCGCGUGCCUCAGUCAUCAGGGGUGAAGCGACAGAUUCUUGUAUCUUUGUGCUUUGGCUUGUCCCAGUAUCUUCUUCUCUGGUGUAGAUCCAGCCUAAACCCGUUUUCUUUGCCUUAUCCCAAGAUGCAUCUGUUUUGUAUACAAUCGUGAUGGAGAUAAGUCAGCAAAUCCAAGGGAGUAUAGGAGACGAGACUCCUGAUGGUGGUUGACAUAUCAACUUGCGGUGCUUGAAGAGGAUGGACUUUAUAGUAUCGUCUGCAGCUAUGUAAACUGCGCAGUGGAGUGGGGUAAUCUCCCAAACUUUCCAAGCAAAGGGGCAUAGGAAAAAGGUUUUCCCCCAUGGGUAGAGCUCGCAGUACCAGAGACCAUAAGAAAACUUAUAGCUUUGGAAGAGAAAUCACAUGCCCAAAUGUUUGCAAUCCAGUUGAAAUACUGGUUUGCAUUCAGAGCUCUUGGUUUAUUUGUCACAGUAGCAUCAUUGUAUCCUGAUUUUGAUGAGUAGAUUCCAGAUUGAACAGGUUGCCACACAUAAAUGUAUUCUGAGUUCAUGCGACUUGGUCGAAGAC